UGGGGAAUAUUGGACAAUGGGCGGAAGCCUGAUCCAGCCAUGCCGCGUGUGUGAAGAAGGCCUUUUGGUUGUAAAGCACUUUAAGCGAGGAGGAGGCUACCUGGAUUAAUACUCUGGGAUAGUGGACGUUACUCGCAGAAUAAGCACCGGCUAACUCUGUGCCAGCAGCCGCGGUAAUACAGAGGGUGCGAGCGUUAAUCGGAUUUACUGGGCGUAAAGCGUGCGUAGGCGGCUGAUUAAGUCGGAUGUGAAAUCCCUGAGCUUAACUUAGGAAUUGCAUUCGAUACUGGUCAGCUAGAGUAUGGGAGAGGAUGGUAGAAUUCCAGGUGUAGCGGUGAAAUGCGUAGAGAUCUGGAGGAAUACCGAUGGCGAAGGCAGCCAUCUGGCCUAAUACUGACGCUGAGGUACGAAAGCAUGGGGAGCAAACA
RNAcentral lists this ribosomal RNA (428 nucleotides) under uncultured bacterium. RNAcentral's name for it is "bacterial SSU rRNA". It matches the Rfam family "Bacterial small subunit ribosomal RNA", at positions 355 to 774 of the family's 1533-position model. The record is from RNAcentral.